UGAUAAUGUGACUAUAUUUGCAUAAAGCGUC
RNAcentral lists this non-coding RNA (31 nucleotides) under Homo sapiens (human). Lineage: Eukaryota; Metazoa; Chordata; Mammalia; Primates; Hominidae. The record is from RNAcentral.